GGGUCAGUAGGUUGGUCGUGCCACCGGUACGUACUGGUCUCACUGAUUCCUCCUUCCUGAAGAACCGUAAUGCCAUUAAUUUGGUGUUGCGGGGAAACAGGACUGUUACUUUGAAAAAAUUAGAGUGUUUAAAGCAAGCUAACGCUUGAAUACAUUAGCAUGGAAUAAUGAAAUAGGACGAUCGAUCCUAUUAUGUUGGUUUCUAGGAUUGACGUA
This 216-nucleotide ribosomal RNA is filed under the name Glomeromycotina sp. RNAcentral describes it as "partial small subunit ribosomal RNA". The stretch from base 40 to 216 matches the Rfam family "Eukaryotic small subunit ribosomal RNA", at positions 686 to 864 of the family's 1831-position model. Lineage: Eukaryota; Fungi; Glomeromycota. The record is from RNAcentral.